GACGAACGCUGGCGGCGUGCUUAACACAUGCAAGUCGAACGGAAAGGCCCUGCUUUUGUGGGGUGCUCGAGUGGCGAACGGGUGAGUAACACGUGAGUAACCUGCCCUUGACUGUGGGAUAACUUCAGGAAACUGGGGCUAAUACCGGAUAGGAGCUCCUGCUGCAUGGUGGGGGUUGGAAAGUUUCGGCGGUUGGAGAUGGACUCGCGGCUUAUCAGCGUGUUGGUGGGGGAGUGGCUUACCAAGGCUUUGACGGGUAGCCGGCCUGAGAGGGUGACCGGCCACAUUGGGACUGAGAGACGGCCCAGACUGCUACGGGAGGCAGCAGUGGGGAAUAUUGCACAAUGGGCGGAAGCCUGAUGCAGCAACGCCGCGUGCGGGAUGACGGCCUUCGGGUUGUAAACCGCUUUCGCCUGUGACGAAGCGUGAGUGACGGUAAUGGGUAAAGAAGCACCGGCUAACUACGUG
RNAcentral lists this ribosomal RNA (468 nucleotides) under uncultured bacterium. RNAcentral describes it as "partial 16S ribosomal RNA". It matches the Rfam family "Bacterial small subunit ribosomal RNA", at positions 28 to 507 of the family's 1533-position model. The record is from RNAcentral.